This 492-nucleotide ribosomal RNA is filed under the name uncultured bacterium. Its description in RNAcentral is "partial 16S ribosomal RNA". It matches the Rfam family "Bacterial small subunit ribosomal RNA", at positions 29 to 507 of the family's 1533-position model. The record is from RNAcentral.
AGUGAACGCUGGCGGUAGGCCUAACACAUGCAAGUCGAACGGCAGCACAGUAAGAGCUUGCUCUUACGGGUGGCGAGUGGCGGACGGGUGAGGAAUACAUCGGAAUCUACUUUUUCGUGGGGGAUAACGUAGGGAAACUUACGCUAAUACCUCAUACGACCUACGGGUGAAAGCAGGGGAUCUUCGUACCUUUGCUGAUUCAAUGAGCCGAUGUCGGAUUAGCUAGUUGGCGGGGUAAAGGCCCACCAAGGCGACGAUCCGUAGCUGGUCUGAGAGGAUGAUCGGCCACACUGGAACUGAGACACGGUCCAGACUCCUACGGGAGGCAGCAGUAGGGAAUAUUCGGCAAUGGGCGCAAGCCUGAUCCAGCCAUACCGCGUGGGUGAAGAAGGCCUUCGGGUUGUAAAGCCCUUUUGUUGGGAAAGAAAAGCAGCAGAUUAAUCUCCCGCUGUUCUGACGGUACCCAAAGAAUAAGCACCGGCUAACUUCGUG